CACAUUAUGAUUGAUCUUGGAACUGGAAAUAACAACAAAAUUAAUUGGGCUCUCAAGGACAAGCAAGAGUUCAUUGACAUUAUUGAGACUGUCUACCGUGGGGCAAGGAAGGGUCGUGGUUUGGUUAUUGCUCCAAAAGAUUACUCCACCAAGUACCGCUACUAAGUGUAAGAAAAAUUAUUCAUUGGACUAUCCGACUAUGUAAGAACCUGUGAUGAAAACAAUAUGUAUGCAUAAAACUUGGCUUCAGAAAUUUGUAGAUUGGAAUUUCCUGGUUAACUAACUAGGAGUUUCUUAUGAUGGUAUGUUUACAUUUUUUGCCAUGUGUGCAGACAAUGUAUCUGACAUUUAUUUUGUG
RNAcentral lists this unclassified non-coding RNA (358 nucleotides) under Hevea brasiliensis (rubber tree). Lineage: Eukaryota; Viridiplantae; Streptophyta; Magnoliopsida; Malpighiales; Euphorbiaceae. The record is from RNAcentral.